AAGAUUCCCCUUUCUUCUUCGCCGCCUCUUUCUCCCUGCAAAAUAGAACAAAUAAGAGGACCACACCCAGGGGGUGUUGGCCAAAGGCCCUGCGAUGCCUAAGUCAAUUCAAUCGAUCCGUAGAGAAACGAUAGCUAAAAUAGGGUACGGGAUGUGUUUAUCAUAUAAAUCGGGCGGCCGGAGCCUUAUGUAAAAGAGAGAGAGAAAAGAGGUGACUAGGGUAUGAGAGGAAUUUUCUAUAGAGAUUUUAGUAGUAGUUCUGACGUACUUCAACCCUUGUGUGUGUCCAUGCUUUUAUAGAGCCUCGUAGGGUUAGGGUUUGGAGAAAAAUAAUCCUUGUUGGGAAAGGAAUUAUUUUUCUGAUUUUAGGAGAUUUAAAUCAAUUAGGGAUUUAAUGCGAAUUAAAUCCCUAAUCAAGGCAAGAAUCCCCAAAUCAAAUAAUCCCCAAAUGGAAGGAAAUAUUUGACCUAGGGUUUGCUUAAAAUUAGGUUCCCACAAAUGCCCCCCAGCUUCUGGAUGGCCCGUGAUGGCAUGGAGGAGGUGUGAAUUAACUGUUGGGCUGUCCAGCUGUAACUGGGCUUCCUUCUUGGAUUUGGGGUCUCAAUUGGAGUCGGCUUUUGAUUGUUCUUGGAGUUGGGUUCCCAGUAGGAAUGGGCUUGCGAUUCUUUCUUGACCUAGGAUGCCCAACAUGUAUAAAUGCAGGGCUUCUCUUCAUUCUUCUUCACAUUGCAAACUUGACUUCUUUACUUUCUAGCUUGAGAGAGAUCUUGGAGAAUUUGUACUGCUUGUUGAAGAGAGGAGUUGUCGUGCAUCCCAAGGUAAGUCGAGCAAGUAUAUUUUUUUCCUCGUCUUCUCUUUUUUGCGG
This 865-nucleotide long non-coding RNA is filed under the name Prunus persica (peach). RNAcentral describes it as "long non-coding RNA (PPER_LNC004919)". Lineage: Eukaryota; Viridiplantae; Streptophyta; Magnoliopsida; Rosales; Rosaceae. The record is from RNAcentral.